AACGUAGGGGCCAAGCGUUAUCCGGAUUUACUGGGCGUAAAGCGCCCGUAGGCGGCCUGACAAGUUGGACGUGAAAGCUCCUGGCUUAACUGGGAGAGGCCGUUCAAAACUGUCAAGCUAGAGUCUGGAAGAGGAGAGCGGAAUUCCCGGUGUAGUGGUGGAAUGCGUAGAGAUCGGGAGGAACACCAGUGGCGAAAGCGGCUCUCUGGUCCAAAACUGACGCUGAGGGGCGAAAGCGUGGGGAGCGAACGGG
RNAcentral lists this ribosomal RNA (253 nucleotides) under uncultured bacterium. Its description in RNAcentral is "partial 16S ribosomal RNA". It matches the Rfam family "Bacterial small subunit ribosomal RNA", at positions 524 to 776 of the family's 1533-position model. The record is from RNAcentral.